This 27-nucleotide small RNA is filed under the name Bombyx mori (domestic silkworm). Its description in RNAcentral is "piRNA piR-bmo-2156713". Lineage: Eukaryota; Metazoa; Arthropoda; Insecta; Lepidoptera; Bombycidae. The record is from RNAcentral.
UAAGAUAGCUUCGGAUGAUUCAUUGGG